UGCAGAUCUGGAGCAUUGGUGAUAUUUUGGCCCUGCCAAAGGAAGGAAAACCUUUCUGAAGUAACUGCUGGAGAAGGGAUUGAGUUGGAACAAGUGCAUUUACUCUCUCUGUGUGGUGAAAAGAAAGUGUCCUGUAAACAACAGCCUACCUUGACAUUGACAAUGUGGUAGUUCACUCGCAACUCAUACUUCUUCAGCACUUUGAGCAGUGCCGUGACGAUCUCACUGGAGGUGAAGAACUCGAGGCCCUUCUGUUUAAAGUAAACCUGGCACUGGCAUAUACAAAAAGAGUUAUGAAACUGCUUCUUCUCCUCCAGCCCUCACCUGGAGAUGAGAUUGACAGCAGCAUUGGCUGUACGUGGAGGGAAGAACUCCAAGGAGAACCACCUGUCUCCAGAGUCCUGCCGUCGACGCAUCUUCUCC
Molecule: long non-coding RNA, 423 nt
Organism: Athene cunicularia (burrowing owl)
Lineage: Eukaryota; Metazoa; Chordata; Aves; Strigiformes; Strigidae
Exons: 4
Source: RefSeq, a predicted model, not a curated record